This 440-nucleotide ribosomal RNA is filed under the name uncultured bacterium. RNAcentral describes it as "bacterial SSU rRNA". It matches the Rfam family "Bacterial small subunit ribosomal RNA", at positions 355 to 787 of the family's 1533-position model. The record is from RNAcentral.
UGGGGAAUAUUGGACAAUGGGCGAAAGCCUGAUCCAGCCAUGCCGCGUGGGUGAAGAAGGCCUUCGGGUUGUAAAGCCCUUUUGUUGGGGAAGAAAUCCUGCUGGCUAAUACCCGGCGGGGAUGACGGUACCCAAAGAAUAAGCACCGGCUAACUUCGUGCCAGCAGCCGCGGUAAUACGAAGGGUGCAAGCGUUGUCCGGAAUUAUUGGGCGUAAAGAGCUCGUAGGCGGUCUGUCGCGUCUGUCGUGAAAGCCCACGGCUUAACUGUGGGUCUGCGGUGGAUACGGGCAGGCUAGAGGCAGGUAGGGGAGCAUGGAAUUCCCGGUGUAGCGGUGAAAUGCGCAGAUAUCGGGAGGAACACCGGUGGCGAAGGCGGUGCUCUGGGCCUGUUCUGACGCUGAGGAGCGAAAGCGUGGGGAGCGAACAGGAUUAGAUACCC